RNAcentral lists this ribosomal RNA (497 nucleotides) under uncultured bacterium. Its description in RNAcentral is "partial 16S ribosomal RNA". It matches the Rfam family "Bacterial small subunit ribosomal RNA", at positions 28 to 507 of the family's 1533-position model. The record is from RNAcentral.
GACGAACGCUGGCGGCGUGCCUAAUACAUGCAAGUAGAACGCUGAAGAGAGGAGCUUGCUCUUCUUGGAUGAGUUGCGAACGGGUGAGUAACGCGUAGGUAACCUGCCUUGUAGCGGGGGAUAACUAUUGGAAACGAUAGCUAAUACCGCAUAACAAUGGAUGACACAUGUCAUUUAUUUGAAAGGGGCAAUUGCUCCACUACAAGAUGGACCUGCGUUGUAUUAGCUAGUAGGUGAGGUAAUGGCUCACCUAGGCGACGAUACAUAGCCGACCUGAGAGGGUGAUCGGCCACACUGGGACUGAGACACGGCCCAGACUCCUACGGGAGGCAGCAGUAGGGAAUCUUCGGCAAUGGGGGCAACCCUGACCGAGCAACGCCGCGUGAGUGAAGAAGGUUUUCGGAUCGUAAAGCUCUGUUGUAAGUCAAGAACGGGUGUGAGAGUGGAAAGUUCACACUGUGACGGUAGCUUGCCAGAAAGGGACGGCUAACUACGUG